This 253-nucleotide ribosomal RNA is filed under the name uncultured bacterium. Its description in RNAcentral is "partial 16S ribosomal RNA". It matches the Rfam family "Bacterial small subunit ribosomal RNA", at positions 524 to 776 of the family's 1533-position model. The record is from RNAcentral.
UACGUAGGGUGCGAGCGUUGUCCGGAAUCAUUGGGCGUAAAGCGCGUGUAGGCGGCCCGAUAAGUCCGCUGUGAAAGUCCAGGGCUCAACCCUGGAAAGCCGGUGGAUACUGUCGGGCUAGAGUCCGGAAGAGGCGAGUGGAAUUCCUGGUGUAGCGGUGGAAUGCGCAGAUAUCAGGAGGAACACCAACGGCGAAGGCAGCUCGCUGGGACGGUACUGACGCUAAGACGCGAAAGCGUGGGGAGCGAACAGG